This 253-nucleotide ribosomal RNA is filed under the name uncultured bacterium. RNAcentral describes it as "partial 16S ribosomal RNA". It matches the Rfam family "Bacterial small subunit ribosomal RNA", at positions 524 to 776 of the family's 1533-position model. The record is from RNAcentral.
GACGGAGGGGGCGAGCGUUACCCGGAUUCAUUGGGUGUAAAGGGUGCGUAGGCGGCCAGUCAAGUCCGAGGUUAAAGACCAGUGCUCAACUCUGGGAGUGCGUUGGAAACUGAGAGGCUAGAGGGGGGGAGGGGGUACGGGAAUUCCCGGAGUAGCGGUGAAAUGCGUAGAUAUUGGAAAGAACGCCAAUGGCGAAAGCGGGUAACUGGACGAUUAGUGACGCUGAGGUGCGAAAGCUUGGGGAGCGAACGGG